CAAUAGCGUAUAUUAAAGUUGUUGCAGUUAAAAAGCUCGUAGUUGGAUUUCUGGUCGGAAGCUCCUGUCCUCUGAUGAGCGUACAAGUGCGUCCUACCAUCCUUCUGUUAACCUUUAAGGCUUUCGCGGCUUUCUAGGGGCUCAGAUAUUUUACCUUGAGAAAAUUAGAGUGUUUCAGGCAGGCUAGCGCCGGAAUACAUUAGCAUGGAAUAAUGGAAUAGGACUUUUGCCUCUUCUGUUGGUCAUGAGGCUCGAGUAAUGAUUAAUAGGGAUAGUUGGGGGCAUUAGUACUUAACUGUCAGAGGCGAAAUUCUCGGAUUUGUUAAAGACUAACUUAUGCGAAAGCAUUUGCCAAGGAUGUUUUCAUUAA
This 370-nucleotide ribosomal RNA is filed under the name uncultured eukaryote. RNAcentral's name for it is "partial 18S ribosomal RNA". It matches the Rfam family "Eukaryotic small subunit ribosomal RNA", at positions 592 to 976 of the family's 1831-position model. The record is from RNAcentral.